RNAcentral lists this long non-coding RNA (224 nucleotides) under Phoenix dactylifera (date palm). RNAcentral's name for it is "long non-coding RNA (PDAC_LNC020731)". The record is from RNAcentral. Lineage: Eukaryota; Viridiplantae; Streptophyta; Magnoliopsida; Arecales; Arecaceae.
CUAAGAAGCCCUCUUGCCUGUAGAACGAAAACAGUGAAAUGUGUUUUCAAGCUAUUUGAAGGUAAAUAAGAAGGAAAAAAAACUGUGCUGUUUUGCUAUCGUACUUGAAUAUUUGUUUGACUUCUAGCUAGAUAUGACUUUCUUGUGCUUCACGGGUUUACGGUCUAAGAAUUAAAUAGUCAAGCUAUUUGGUGAGUUCCUGAUGGAAGCAAAAAAAGAAAAAG